AAGGUAGCGAAAUUCCUUGUCGGGUAAGUUCCGACCUGCACGAAUGGCGUAACGAUCUCCACACUGUCUCGGCCAGAGACUCGGUGAAAUUGAAGUCGCGGUGAAAAUGCCGUGUACCCGCAGAAAGACGGAAAGACCCUGUGCACCUUUACUAUAGCUUGACAUUGGGAUUUGAACCUGCAUGUGUAGGAUAGGUGGGAGGCUGUGAACUCUGUACGCCAGUAUGGAGGGAGCCAUUGUUGAAAUACCACCCUUGUUUUUUCAGGUCCCUAACCCUCAGCCGUAAGCCGGCGAGGGAACAGUGUCUGGUGGGUAGUUUGACUGGGGCGGUCGCCUCCUAAAAUGUAACGGAGGCAUGCAAAGGUUCCCUCAGGCUGAUUGGAAACCACCCGUCGAGUGCAAACGCAUAAGGGAGCUUGACUGCGAGAGAGACAUCUCGAGCAGGUACGAAAGUAGGUGUUAGUGAUCCGGUGGUCCCGAAUGGAAGGGCCAUCGCUCAUUGGAUAAAAGGUACGCCGGGGAUAACAGGCUGAUCGCAUCCAAGAGUUCACAUCGACGAUGCGGUUUGGCACCUCGAUGUCGGCUCAUCACAUCCUGGGGCUGAAGCAGGUCCCAAGGGUACGGCUGUUCGCCGUUUAAAGUGGUACGCGAGCUGGGUUUAAAACGUCGUGAGACAGUUUGGUCCCUAUCUUCUGUGGGCGAAGGAGAAUUGAGAGGGCCUGUCCCUAGUACGAGAGGACCGGGAUGGACGCACCCCUGGUGAUCCUGUUGUCGCGCCAGCGGCAUAGCAGGGUAGCUAUGUGCGGAAGGGAUAACCGCUGAAAGCAUCUAAGCGGGAAGCCUGCCUCAAGAUAAGUUCUCCCCUCGAAAGAGCUGAAGGGCCCGGGUAGACUACCCGGUCGAUAGGCUGGAGGUGUAAGCGCGGCGACGUGCUCAGCUGACCAGUACUAAUAGCCCGUGAGGCUUGUUCUC
This 972-nucleotide ribosomal RNA is filed under the name human gut metagenome. RNAcentral describes it as "bacterial LSU rRNA". It matches the Rfam family "Bacterial large subunit ribosomal RNA", at positions 1953 to 2925 of the family's 2925-position model. The record is from RNAcentral.